This 600-nucleotide long non-coding RNA is filed under the name Sus scrofa (pig). Its description in RNAcentral is "lncRNA (ENSSSCG00070024736.1)". The record is from RNAcentral. Lineage: Eukaryota; Metazoa; Chordata; Mammalia; Artiodactyla; Suidae.
CAAUGUGUUGUACAUAGUAACCCUUUGAAAACAGUUUUGUACUCACUCAAAAAACAUUUCUUUAUGGAGGAUCAAAGUUCAUGAUCAAAUGAACUGAACUACUUGUUCUUGGCAGGGAACAGCUCCCUCAGAGGCCCAACCAGGAUGAGGCAGAGCCUUUCAAGAGAGAUAAAGGAAAACAGACUAUUGAAUUUGGCAGUUUAAUUCUACACACAUAGUUGAAUGUGGAUAUAUCUGAUAUGGGAGAUGUUUUCAGGAGGACAAUGAAGAUGCAUACUGAAGCCAGCCCCCGUGGGUUCAUCUUUACAGCAUCUGAAACUAGGACAAGAGCCAAAUUUUCCAAAAUGCCAGAAGGGGUAACAAAGAAGUAACCAGUUGGAAGCUGAGGACUGGCAAAGUUCAAGACAAAAAUGGUAAGUUUUGUUUUAAUAUAGAGUAAGUUUAUUUAGAAAAAUCAGUGAUUGCUAAUAUUGGAGUCCAAUGAGAAAAAGUAUGUAAAUAGUACCUGAGAAAUUACAUUUCUUGAAAAUCUGCUCUAUUUUUUUUUACAUUCAUUUAACAGCUAUUUAUUGGGUUCUUACUACAUAUUGGGCACUAUAC